GAUCAUGGCUCGUGAUGAACGCUGGCGGCGUGCUUAACACAUUCAAGUCGAGCGAAGCAAUUUAAGUGAAGUUUUCGGAUGGAUCUUAGAUUGACUGAGCGGCGGACGGGUGAAGGUAACGCGUGGAUAACCUGCCUCACACAGGGGGAUAACAGUUAGAAAUGACUGCUAAUACCGCAUAAGCGCACAGUACCGCAUGGUAUAGUGUGAAAAACUCCGGUGGUGUGAGAUGG
RNAcentral lists this ribosomal RNA (233 nucleotides) under uncultured bacterium. RNAcentral describes it as "partial 16S ribosomal RNA". It matches the Rfam family "Bacterial small subunit ribosomal RNA", at positions 15 to 228 of the family's 1533-position model. The record is from RNAcentral.